Molecule: non-coding RNA, 1723 nt
Organism: Lolium perenne
Lineage: Eukaryota; Viridiplantae; Streptophyta; Magnoliopsida; Poales; Poaceae
Source: RefSeq, a predicted model, not a curated record
UCGAACGACGUCCCCAAUCCUGGCCUCGCUCCUCGCUCCCCAAUCCCCACCUCCUCCUCUCCUCUCCAAUGGCAGCCUCCUCUCCUCCCCCAUUUUCGUUUCUCCACUCUCCCCCUCAACUGGAUGCGGGAGCCAGCGGCGGCAUGUAGAGCGUGUCGAGGCGGCUGGAGGCAGGGAGCACGCGCCUAGCGGCGGCGAUGGUGGCUGGAGGCGGUGUUCAGCGCGUCGAGGAUGGCCGCCGCCGAGGACAGAGCGGCAGACCCUUUCGUGGGCGGCGACCACGACCAGGCCGGCGAGCGGUGGCGGACUCGCCCUUCCCCGCGCGCGAGGAGACGAGAUCGGGGAGGCCUCGACCUGCGCGAGUGGCGGCGUGCGGCGUGGCGGCGGCUCAUGUCCUCUCGGCUGCGUGGCUCGAGGUUUUCUUCUCCCCUCCUCCCCCUCAGCAGAUGUGACCGUGUGAGGCGACCAAGGGCGACCAGGGAGGAGCAGCCUUACCAGCUCGGUAUGAGGAUGCGGCGCCAGAAGACUCCUCCACGAGCUGUAGCUCGUAGAUGCGUGGAGAUCUGGUGGUUGACCACCAUGUGGAUCUGAUGGUUGAGUUACAACAAGAAGGCUGCAGCUCGUAGAUGCGUGUGUAGAUCUGGUGGUUGAUGCUGCUAGGCCGAAGGGCUGCUGGAUCGUCGACUUUGUGUGUGGCGAUAACCUGCUAAUGUCGCCAAGAGAGUGUAUGUUUUGGAAGGGGUGAGCAGCGAUAGAGGUUUCUUUAGUCCUAGAGCAAUGCUUUGGUGAUUGUACCUCAAAUAUUCGUGGUCUUCAUGCUCCAGCUCAAGAUGCAGAUAAUGUCCAGAUUUUGAUGGUCAUCCUUCGUUUCUAGAGCCCUCAUAUUGGUCUAAAGGUGGAGGACUACAAGGGCUUGUCGGUUUGCAAGGUGUUGGUUCUUGAGGUGAGCUUAUGUGGAUCAUCUGGGAAGCUCAGUGAUGGAGCAACAAUUCAACGAGAUUUGGUUUGAAGUUUUGGAAGGCUUCAUUUGAUCUCUGGACUGCUUUGAUGUAGAAAGGAUUCUGUUACCAUUAAUUAACACACCAUGUUGGUGCUGGAGCUUUUGUGAUGAGUGGCAAAUGAGGACAUUGCCCCUUCAAGCCAGCAAGAUGAUUGAUGUACGUUGAUGAAUAAGAGCACCCAUCCAAGAUACUAAGAGUAUUAGCUGAAGGAACUGCGAUGAAACUCUGGCAGAGCAAUUAAAGAAACAGAUUUUAGCUUCCUAAUGGAUGACAUUUGGCUUAUGAAGUAAAAGGAUAUCCAGCUAGCAGAGCAAUAUUUUGGUUGAUCUCGUUCUCUUCUUUCGUCAAGGCUAGAAGUUGAGUUGCUCUAAAAUUAAUUAGCUACGGAGAUACAUUUUCAAGGAGUGGGAAAGAAGUAUAUUAAGCAAAGAGAAAAGUCAUAGGAAGGGGAUUUGGAGGAGGGAGGCCACCAUUGCUCGCUAAAAUUGUUUAUAUUUGUCAAUGUUCAUGGUCUUAAUAUAUUUCUGACUACCAUUUGCCCCUUUAUUAGCUUGUCCUGCUUGUGGGCACUGGGCUACAGCAUGUUGUUGCUCAGUUGGCGCUGGAGGUUGUUGAGGCAACAACCACUAAUUCUAGGGUAUUCUUUGGACAUUGUGAAGGAGCAUUUAAUUUGGUUAACGGGUAACUACGGAAUUUGAUAUACAGUGGCCAGCUUGAUCAGA